RNAcentral lists this ribosomal RNA (253 nucleotides) under uncultured bacterium. RNAcentral's name for it is "partial 16S ribosomal RNA". It matches the Rfam family "Bacterial small subunit ribosomal RNA", at positions 524 to 776 of the family's 1533-position model. The record is from RNAcentral.
UACAGAGGUCUCAAGCGUUGUUCGGAUUCAUUGGGCGUAAAGGGUGCGUAGGCGGCGAGGUAAGUCAGAUGUGAAAUCCCGGAGCUUAACUCCGGAACUGCAUUUGAUACUGCUUUGCUUGAGGACUGGAGAGGAGAUCGGAAUUCACGGUGUAGCAGUGAAAUGCGUAGAUAUCGUGAGGAAGGCCAGUGGCGAAGGCGGAUCUCUGGACAGUUCCUGACGCUGAGGCACGAAGGCCAGGGGAGCAAACAGG